AUGGAUCCCUAGGGAUUGCUGGCCAGCCAGUAUAGCUGAAAUGGAGAAUGGUGGGUUCAGUCGGAGAUCCUGUCUCAAAAACUAAGGUGAAGAGGGUAGAGGAAGAGCAGAUCCUUAAGACAUGAAGUGGAAACAUUUGGGCAAACACAGCGAGGCUAAGGCCUUUGAACAUCAACAGCAUCUCAAUCAGUAAUGACAAUGCAGGCAUCCUCCAGUCACUGGAAGGCAUGAAUGACGCAAACAACCCGACUGUCCUCAGGAACAGAGGAUUCUUCCUUUCUGUGACAUCCUUAUGCCAGAGCCUUCCAUCGUGGAUUAAGGGCCAGCAGCUCUCCAGGGAUCCUCUAGGCUUCCAGUGACAGAUUGGAACUUGUGAGGCAUCCAUCCCAGUGGGCUGAGAAAGUCCCAGGUUCUCAGCUUCUCCAGUGUGCCCACAGCCACGUGGGACAACUCAACCCGUAUCAAGUAAGCCAGUCUGCGGCUGCCCGUGUCUGGAUCCACCACAUUUCCUUUGUGUGUUCGCUCCUUCAUCAGCUCAUGGAUGUUGGAUGGUUCUACAUACAUCUGGCCCAGGAAUGAUAAGAACAUUUACAUACAAGGCUGCAUGGAUGCAAGGCUGGCUUAAAUGUGCCUGGGAGAAGAAUCUCUGGGAACUCUGGGCAACAUUGUGAGGAACCACUAGACUCUUCCGAAUUUGCUGCACCAUUUUUACCACAAAGGCAGUUUUCAGUUCCCGUGUAGCCUGGCCAUUAGCUCUGGCUGUUAGCCAUCCUUAU
This 776-nucleotide long non-coding RNA is filed under the name Rattus norvegicus (Norway rat). RNAcentral's name for it is "long non-coding RNA NONRATT008310". Lineage: Eukaryota; Metazoa; Chordata; Mammalia; Rodentia; Muridae. The record is from RNAcentral.